RNAcentral lists this ribosomal RNA (497 nucleotides) under uncultured bacterium. RNAcentral describes it as "partial 16S ribosomal RNA". It matches the Rfam family "Bacterial small subunit ribosomal RNA", at positions 28 to 507 of the family's 1533-position model. The record is from RNAcentral.
GAUGAACGCUGGCGGCGUGCCUAAUACAUGCAAGUCGAGCGAACAGAUAAGGAGCUUGCUCCUUUGACGUUAGCGGCGGACGGGUGAGUUACACGUGGAUAACCUACCUAUAAGACUGGGAUAACUUCGGGAAACCGGAGCUAAUACCGGAUAACAUAUUGAACCGCAUGGUUCAAUAGUGAAAGGCGGCUUUGCUGUCACUUAUAGAUGGAUCCGCGCCGUAUUAGCUAGUUGGUAAGGUAACGGCUUACCAAGGCAACGAUACGUAGCCGACCUGAGAGGGUGAUCGGCCACACUGGAACUGAGACACGGUCCAGACUCCUACGGGAGGCAGCAGUAGGGAAUCUUCCGCAAUGGGCGAAAGCCUGACGGAGCAACGCCGCGUGAGUGAUGAAGGUCUUCGGAUCGUAAAACUCUGUUAUCAGGGAAGAACAAAUGUGUAAGUAACUGUGCACAUCUUGACGGUACCCGAUCAGAAAGCCACGGCUAACUACGUG